UGUUGACAGCGCUGCUGAGUCAAAGUUAAGCAAAUUAAUCCGCGACCAUGGGUCGCCAUAAAGUUAACAUCUUCUUUAGUAACUUUUUCAGCUGCAAUC
RNAcentral lists this non-coding RNA (99 nucleotides) under marine eukaryotic metagenome. The record is from RNAcentral.